UAAUAGGUGUUAGGGGGUUUAAGCACUCUUGUGCCGCCGCAAACGCAUUAAGUAUCCCACCUGGGGGGGUACGACCGCAAGGUUGAAACUCAAAGGAAUUGACGGGGGCCCGCACAAGCAGUGGAGUAUGUGGUUUAAUUCGAAGCAACGCGAAGAACCUUACCAGGGCUUGACAUAUAGAGGAAUAUACUAGAGAUAGUAUAGUACUUCGGUACCUCUAUACAGGUGGUGCAUGGUUGUCGUCAGCUCGUGUCGUGAGAUGUUGGGUUAAGUCCCGCAACGAGCGCAACCCCUGUCCUUAGUUGCCAGCACAUAAUGGUGGGAACUCUAAGGAGACUGCCGGUGAUAAAUCGGAGGAAGGUGGGGAUGACGUCAAAUCAUCAUGCCCUUUAUGUCCUGGGCUACACACGUACUACAAUGGCCGUGACAGAGAGAAACAAUACAGUGAUGUGGAGUAAAACUCUAAAAGCGGUCUCAGUUCGGAUUGAAGGCUGAAAUUCGCCUUCAUGAAGCUGGAAUUGCUAGUAAUGGCAGGUCAGCAUAUUGCCGUGAAUA
RNAcentral lists this ribosomal RNA (555 nucleotides) under uncultured bacterium. Its description in RNAcentral is "bacterial SSU rRNA". It matches the Rfam family "Bacterial small subunit ribosomal RNA", at positions 814 to 1368 of the family's 1533-position model. The record is from RNAcentral.